UACGUAGGUGACAAGCGUUGUCCGGAUUUACUGGGCGUAAAGAGCGCGCAGGCGGUCGAUCAAGUCGAGUGUGAAAGCCCCCGGCUCAACUGGGGAGGGUCAUUCGAUACUGAUCGACUCGAAGGCGGGAGAGGGUAGUGGAAUUCCCGGUGUAGUGGUGAAAUGCGCAGAUAUCGGGAGGAACACCAGUAGCGAAGGCGGCACUCUGGGCCGGAACUGACGCUGAGGAGCGAAAGCGUGGGGAGCGAACAGG
This 253-nucleotide ribosomal RNA is filed under the name uncultured bacterium. Its description in RNAcentral is "partial 16S ribosomal RNA". It matches the Rfam family "Bacterial small subunit ribosomal RNA", at positions 524 to 776 of the family's 1533-position model. The record is from RNAcentral.